CGUAUGACUACAACUCCCAGAUGAAAGCACAGCUCCUGCGAGCAGGCGGUGGAGACAGACCCCUGAGCAUUUUGGGACACGGAGUCUUUGCGUUGACUGUGGUUUCCGCAGGUUAAAACGCGUUACUUCAGAGUAGACUCCAGCUCCUGCCUUGGAUCCUUCGGCCUUCUGGCAUAGAUUCUUCGCUCUUCCAUCACAGACCUAUUGACCUCCUGGUGCGAACUUGCACCGGACACUGGUGAACUCCAGAUCUUGGACUGAAUCCUUUGGCCUCCUCAUCUGACUGACCGUUUGCCAGCAUUUAACACAGCACCAAGCACCUGCACAGGGGAUAACUUUCUGCUGACAAUUGCAAGCCUUUUGAAAAGCCAACAGUCCAAACUUCAUUUCCACUAAUAAAUACAGAUCUUGGCCGGGGAUUCAGCUCAGCGGCAUAAGAUUUGUUGGGCAAGUGCAAGGUUGUGAGUUCGAUCCCAGGAACCGGAAAAAAAAAAAAAUCUUAGUGUGUAUCACAGAUGAAAGCUGAAUUAAAUAUUCUGACAUGUCUUUUUAGUAUAUGUGCUGCCGAAGCGAGCACUGAGAUAUGUCUUUUUAUGUAUUUCAACCAUCUAGCUACCUCUUUGGCGCUACUACCGCGAGCCACUUAGGGUGUGUUCACUUUAAAAUGUGUGUGGGGGGCUUUGCCAGUUUUUCCUUCACAGGAAGCCAGUUUUCCAGAGAAAAAUUAGCAUCUGGAGUUUCUUCCGGCGGUUCUGCGUAGGUCCGAAUUUUCAGUUCAUCGAACUUCAACAAUUAGAAAGCAAAGUUCUAAUCCCCUGAAAAACCUAGGAAAGUUAGCAAUCCUUUUAACAAGCUUCGCGUGGUGCCCAAGAGAAACCGUGACCUCAAGAUGGCGUCGCGUAGUCAUAAGAUUCAGUAGGCUCUAAUCAAAAAUGGCAGGGUGGGGCGUGGUUUAUAGUUUGAGCCCUUCUAGCUCCCCGUUAGAACCAUCUUUUCUAUGGUUUUUCUGCAUUGAGGAGGAUGUCAGAGCCAACAGUGGAGACUAUCUAUAUGCUCUCUUCUCUAU
This is a long non-coding RNA of Cavia porcellus (domestic guinea pig), 1066 nucleotides long. RefSeq lists it as uncharacterized. The record is from RefSeq and is a predicted model, not a curated record. The transcript is spliced from 3 exons. NCBI's taxonomy places the organism in Eukaryota, Metazoa, Chordata, Mammalia, Rodentia, Caviidae.